This 224-nucleotide unclassified non-coding RNA is filed under the name Pimelea linifolia. RNAcentral's name for it is "partial miscellaneous RNA". Lineage: Eukaryota; Viridiplantae; Streptophyta; Magnoliopsida; Malvales; Thymelaeaceae. The record is from RNAcentral.
ACUUCCCUCUAGACCUAGCUGCUAUUGAAGCUCCCUCUACAAAUGGAUAAGGCUUUUGUCUUAGUGUAUACGAUUUUUUGAAAGAAGAAAAAAUAAAGGAGCAAUACUCAUUUUCUUGGUAAUGCUCCUUUAUUCCUUUUUUUUUUUUACUGUUUUCAAUUUUUUUCAAAGUGAAAAGUAAUAUUUUUUUUCUAAAAAAAAAAGUARAGGGGCGGAUGUAGCCA